Molecule: long non-coding RNA, 642 nt
Organism: Miniopterus natalensis
Lineage: Eukaryota; Metazoa; Chordata; Mammalia; Chiroptera; Miniopteridae
Source: RefSeq, a predicted model, not a curated record
UGGACGAGCUGGUCUCUGACUAGGCCCGUCACGGUGGGACCGCGCGUCCCAGGCCGUAGCUUCCUCGGAAAAGGGCAGCGUUUUCCCCACAACCACGGCCAUUGGCAAGAAUCUACUGGUAACUGAGGACAACAAAUAAGAAGAAGAAAGAAAAAUAUCUACCUCUGAGACUCUGGACUUAAGAGUGAAACUAAGGGACAAGCUUUACCAUGGGUCAUUCAGCUCCCGCCCCAGGUAUGGAGGAACUCUGUUCACACUGACCAGCAGGGAACUGUCCUCUAAGCCUUUACUCAUCGAACGUCCUCAGAUCCUAAUUGGAAAUCAUCAAAUAGGUCACUGUGGUCAUCUCGAUUCAGUAAAGUCCCAUGUCUGCCAUGGUCAGAUUGUUGACCUGCAAGGAGGAGGACUGGGUGACUUUCCAUAGAUCUUUCUGUUUUGGGUCAGCCCCUAAAUUUGUACCUCCCUUUCUGUCUGAACAUGAGAGCUGUUACAUCCUGAGGCCAAGAGUCUUCUGCAGGAAACUUAAGGGGAAGCGUCCCCGGCUCCCCCGGUGUCCCAUUCAUCAUCCAUGGAUUUGACCUUUGUUGUAAAACUGUUCCCUGUAAACAGGAGAAACAGCGAUAUAAACUGACUCGGAUAAUC